UAUUCUGAUAGUACCGUCAGCCCCAGAUAAAUCCAGGGGUUUCUUCCUAUCUAAAAGUAGUUUACAACCCAUAGGGCAGUCAUCCUACACGCGGGAUGGCUGGAUCAGGCUUGCGCCCAUUGUCCAAUAUUCC
This 133-nucleotide ribosomal RNA is filed under the name uncultured bacterium. RNAcentral's name for it is "partial 16S ribosomal RNA". The record is from RNAcentral.